GCUCAGUAACACGUGGAGAACGUGCCCUUAAGUGGGGGAUAAUCUCGGGAAAUUGAGGAUAAUACCCCAUAGAUCAUGAGAUCUGGAAUGACUCAUGGUUCAAAGUUCCGGCGCUUAAGGAUCGCUCUGCGGCCUAUCAGGUAGUAGUGGGUGUAAAGUACCCCCUAGCCUACGACGGGUAUGGGCCUUGAGAGAGGGAGCCCAGAGUUGGAUUCUGAGACACGAAUCCAGGCCCUACGGGGCGCGGCAGUCGCGAAAACUUCACACUGGGGGCAACCCCGAUGAGGGAAAUCCUAGUGCUAGGACAUUUGUUCUAGCUUUUCUCAAGCGUAGAUAACUUGAGGAAUAAGGGCUGGGUAAGACGGGUGCCAGCCGCCGCGGUAAUACCUGCAGCCCAAGUGGUGGUCGAUUUUAUUGAGUCUAAAACGUUCGUAGCCGGUUUGGUAAAUCUUUGGGUAAAUCGGGAAGCUUAACUUUCCGACUUCCGAAGAGACUGCCAAACUUGGGACCGGGAGAGGCUAGAGGUACUUCUGGGGUAGGGGUAAAAUCCUGUAAUCCUAGAAGGACCACCGGUGGCGAAGGCGUCUAGCUAGAACGGAUCCGACGGUGAGGGACGAAGCCCUGGGUCGCAAACGGGAUUAGAUACCCCGGUAGUCCAGGGUGUAAACGCUGCCGACUUGGUGUUGGAGGCCCUUCGGGGGCAUUCAGUGCCGGAGAGAAGUUGUUAAGUCGGCUACUUGGGGAGUACGUCCGCAAGGAUGAAACUUAAAGGAAUUGGCGGGGGAGCACCGCAACGGGAGGAGCGUGCGGUUUAAUUGGAUUCAACACCGGAAAACUCACCAAGGGCGACUGUUACAUGAAAGCCAGGCUAAUGACCUUGCUUGAUUUUCAGAGAGGUGGUGCAUGGCCGUCGUCAGUUCGUACCGUAAGGCGUUCUCUUAAGUGAGAUAACGAACGAGACCCUCAUCUAUAAUUGCUACUUCACCCUCCGGGGUGGAGGCACAUUAUCGAGACCGCUGGCGCUAAGUCCGAGAAGGAGUGGACGACGGUA
Molecule: ribosomal RNA, 1051 nt
Filed under: uncultured archaeon
Lineage: Archaea
Description: bacterial SSU rRNA
Rfam family: Archaeal small subunit ribosomal RNA
Source: RNAcentral